RNAcentral lists this ribosomal RNA (206 nucleotides) under uncultured bacterium. Its description in RNAcentral is "partial 16S ribosomal RNA". It matches the Rfam family "Bacterial small subunit ribosomal RNA", at positions 568 to 773 of the family's 1533-position model. The record is from RNAcentral.
CGCGUAGGCGGGGGGGAAAGUCCGCUGUGAAAGCCCGAGGCUCAACCUCGGCGGGUCGGUGGAUACUUCCUCUCUUGAAGGUGCUAGGGGGAGAUGGAAUUACCGGUGUAGCGGUGAAAUGCGUAGAUAUCGGUAGGAACACCAGUGGCGAAGGCGGUCUCCUGGGGCAUUCUUGACGCUGAGGCGCGAAAGCUGGGGGAGCAACG